Mirounga angustirostris (Northern elephant seal) is the source of this 662-nucleotide long non-coding RNA. RefSeq lists it as uncharacterized. Lineage: Eukaryota; Metazoa; Chordata; Mammalia; Carnivora; Phocidae. The transcript is spliced from 3 exons. The record is from RefSeq and is a predicted model, not a curated record.
CCCUGCGUGUACGUGAACCCAAACAUCCUUGUGAGAGACAGCAGGGAAGCAAAGUGAACCCGAGUAACUGGAACUGUAAGGACAGACUUGCCCCUGAGCCUCUCCAGCUCAUCGCUCCUCCCAUUCAUGGCUGAGCACAUUGGGAAUGACCCUGGAGGUACACCCAAGAAUAGAAAGAAUUAUUCAGGAGGAACUAGGCUCCUGUCAUGAUGGCUUUCUCUCUUAACUUCCAUAAGCCUCCUCAAAGCUGCCAGAUAGGAGCCCGAAAACCGAGAGAGGCACAAAAUGCUCUCCUCCAAGACCCUGGUUUUUAGCCUCACAGGCUGAUAGACUAAAAGGAAUUAUUACCUGCCUUCACAAAGCCUACAUUCAGCAAAGAACUGUUCCUUUACUGAUGCAUCAAGGCCCACCAAGGCUUCCUGCAACCUGCAAAGAUGACAGAGACAAGUUCUGGUACUAAAUUCGUAAUUGUUAACAAGCCCAGCUGCCAUUUCAGCAAAGAUAAUGCCGUAAUGAAGUAAGGGCGGUGUUCAGUUUCCAAAUCUUACUGCAAAACAGUCAUCGCGGAGAGCCUUCCGAUGAUGGACAGGGGCAAGGCCCAAUCUAGUCACCCGAUCGGUCCCGCGCCUCGGGCCACCGCCCACCGAGAUAGUAAACUGCAC